Non-coding RNA from Oncorhynchus mykiss (rainbow trout), 849 nucleotides. Lineage: Eukaryota; Metazoa; Chordata; Actinopteri; Salmoniformes; Salmonidae. The record is from RefSeq and is a predicted model, not a curated record.
GGACAGUCAUGGGAUGCGCGAGGCUGCUUAAAUUUCAUCAAACGUUGUAAUAAUAACGACGUAAUAAGCCAUGUCCUAACAUCAAAGUACGCCCAUGGUCGCGUCGUCUGGCCCGUGCAUUUAGUGUCCAGCUGUUUCAACUGGCUGGUAAUGUAAAAAAAAAAAAAAAUCACAGGGUGUACAUUCAUUGAAGAGACCGGCAUGAGGACGUGCUGAGAAUAAAAGUAUGGAGGGCUUCAGCGGUACAGACACGGUUUGAUUAGAUUAAACAUGUCAAUUCCAAUUCAAAGACGCCGCGGUUGGACAUCACAUAUUUAUCUCGUAUAGCAAUACUGUGUGGUGCCUGGGCUUCUUUCUAGAGUGGAUUCUUAGAGAGAGAAGUAAUUCCUUUGCCUGCGCAUGUCAUUGUAGAACUGACUCCUGUGAACUGUAUCCCUCUCGAUGGAUUGGACAUUAUGCUGGAUUUCAAGCAGAAGAUGACUCAAGAGGAGCUGAAUGGCAGUUUGAUCAUGACAACACACCUCCCACAGCUAUACAUUUGUUCUCUGAACUUACUGUAUGUUUCUUUGGAAUGGCAAUUUUAUCAUGACCACAUCACCCAUCAUCUGCUGAUCAUCAGUUCUCUUAGCUACAAAUUGAUACACCCGACAAUGUGAUUUAACCAAAUAUGUUUGGUAUCUAUUACUGGGAGUUACAGGAUAGGUACUGUUUGGUGUAGCACAGCAUUUUUGAUGGUGUCUUCAUCCUCGGUUUGUGGAAACAGGAGUCUCAGAAAAUGUCCAUGUCCAGUUGCAGGGGUUCAGUUUGAGUUUAGAAAAUGCUCAUUUAUUGUAACAAAUACUUAGCUAU